GCCCGAACUCACGGAUCUGACCAUCUUAACAAUCUCAACCUACUACAAUCUUAAAAAUCAUUUUCCCCACAAUCAUGCUUCUCCCAAUAGCACUCUUGUCUCCUUCAAAAUAUCUAUGAAUUAACACUACCUCCCACAGCCUCUUAAUUGCAACUGCUAGCCUGCAUUGACUCUCCUCAACUUAUUAUGCUAACAAAAAUUUAUCUCAAUGACUUGGAACAGACCAAAUUUCGUCCCCAUUACUAGUCUUAUCUUGCUGGCUUCUCCCCCUCAUAAUUCUAGCUAGCCAAAACCAUCUCCAACAAGAACCACCUGCACAAAAACACAUUUUCAUUCUAACCAUAAUUCUCACCCAACCUUUUAUCUUACUAGCAUUCGCAUCACUAGAACUAAUACUAUUUUACAUUGCAUUCGAAGCUACCCUAAUCCCCACUCUCAUUCUAGUAACACGAUGAGGAAGCCAACCAGAAGGUUUAAGUGCUGGAAUCUUCCUCCUUUUUCGCACCCACCCCAUAUUUUGUAAUAACCAAGUAGCUCUUACUUUUUGUCUCUGCCUGGGAGCUCUCUCCACACUAUUUGCCGCUACAUGCGCUCUUACCCAAAAUGACAUCAAAAAAAUCAUUGCUUUCUCUACAUCAAGUCAAUUAGGUCUAAUAAUAGUAACAAUCGGCCUAAACCUUCAACAAUUAACCUUUCUACAUAUUUCAACUCAUGCAUUUUUCAAAGCAAUACUGUUCCUAUGCUCAGGAUCCAUCAUCCAUAGCCUCAAUGGCGAACAAGAUACCCGAAAAAUAGGAGGAAUACAAAAAUUACUUCCUACAACAAUAUCAUGCCU
Molecule: long non-coding RNA, 835 nt
Organism: Empidonax traillii (willow flycatcher)
Lineage: Eukaryota; Metazoa; Chordata; Aves; Passeriformes; Tyrannidae
Exons: 2
Source: RefSeq, a predicted model, not a curated record